Molecule: ribosomal RNA, 859 nt
Filed under: uncultured bacterium
Lineage: Bacteria
Description: bacterial SSU rRNA
Rfam family: Bacterial small subunit ribosomal RNA
Source: RNAcentral
CAGUCGAACGGCAGCGCGGACUUCGGUCUGGCGGCGAGUGGCGAACGGGUGAGUAAUGUAUCGGAACGUGCCCAGUAGCGGGGGAUAACUACUCGAAAGAGUAGCUAAUACCGCAUACGCCCUACGGGGGAAAGGGGGGGAUCGCAAGACCUCUCACUAUUGGAGCGGCCGAUAUCGGAUUAGCUAGUUGGUGAGGUAAAGGCUCACCAAGGCGACGAUCCGUAGCUGGUUUGAGAGGACGACCAGCCACACUGGGACUGAGACACGGCCCAGACUCCUACGGGAGGCAGCAGUGGGGAAUUUUGGACAAUGGGGGAAACCCUGAUCCAGCCAUUCCGCGUGUGCGAUGAAGGCCUUCGGGUUGUAAAGCACUUUUGGCAGGAAAGAAAUCGCAUGGAUUAAUACUCUGUGUGGAUGACGGUACCUGCAGAAUAAGCACCGGCUAACUACGUGCCAGCAGCCGCGGUAAUACGUAGGGUGCAAGCGUUAAUCGGAAUUACUGGGCGUAAAGCGUGCGCAGGCGGUUCGGAAAGAAAGGUGUGAAAUCCCAGGGCUUAACCUUGGAACUGCACUUUUAACUACCGAGCUAGAGUAUGUCAGAGGGGGGUGGAAUUCCGCGUGUAGCAGUGAAAUGCGUAGAUAUGCGGAGGAACACCGAUGGCGGAGGCAGCCCCCUGGGAUAAUACUGACGCUCAUGCACGAAAGCGUGGGGAGCAAACAGGAUUAGAUACCCUGUAGUCCACGCCCUAAACGAUGUCAACUAGCUGUUGGGGCCUUCGGGCCUUAGUAGCGCAGCUAACGCGUGAAGUUGACCGCCUGGGGAGUACGGUCGCAAGAUUAAAACUCAAGGAAUUGACGG